Podarcis raffonei (Aeolian wall lizard) is the source of this 2914-nucleotide non-coding RNA. Lineage: Eukaryota; Metazoa; Chordata; Lepidosauria; Squamata; Lacertidae. The record is from the annotation of a RefSeq genome assembly.
UGAAACGUCCAUAGGCUAAUGAAACACGGAAAAGCUCUGACAAUUAGCUGCUGUUUGCAAAGCCUCUCCUGGGCGAGGCUAAGCGUCUUAGGCACCUCUUGGCAACGUUCCUUUGGGUACUUUUAACCUCCGAAGGUGUGGCGCAAAGUCCACCUGUUUUGCUUCCUUAACCUUUGCAAUGGAACUGCCGUUCUUCUUAUCCUACCUUAUGGCUGCAGCUGCUUUGGAGGUGAAGACUAGUCCUUCUCCUGUAGUAGGCCUGGUACACAACCCAGUUGUGCUGCAUUGUAACUUUACAGUUCAGGAGAGCGUCAGAAAAGAAGACGUGGCUCUGAAAUGGGCGGUGAAGACUGUAUCUGGAGAAGAGAGGGCAGUGUUUUUGUUUGAUGGGAACCACACAGCAGGUUACCGGCACGGGCCCUUAGUGAAUGUUGAGUUACUACCCCAUGGCAUUGCAUCACUCACCUUGUCCGAUGUGACAUUAAGGGAUGAAGGGAUUUACACGUGUACUGUGUUGGUAACUCCGCAGUAUGGAAAUGGAAAGAUCCAGCUUAAAGUCAGAGCUCAGCCUGCUGUGCUGCUGUCACCCCAAAGUCUCCUAGCUGCUGCAGAAGGAGAGAAGACAUUUUCUUGCAACGUUCAUGACUUCUACCCCCAAGCAAUUAACAUCUCUUGGCUGGUCAGGAAACAAGGCAGCCUACGCGAAACACCACUGUCCUCAGAUAUAUGCACAGGGGCCCCAUCUUCCCGAGGCCGUGACGGUUUGUUUGCUGUGCUGAGUCGUGUCACCCAAAUGGUGUCGGAGGCUGAUAACGGUUCCUUAUAUAUCUGUGAAGUCCAACACGAGUCCCUGGGAAAGCCGCUACGUAGAAAUACAACUUUGUUGGUCACAAUACCAAGAUCCUAUCAUCGGGACACAGGAUUUAUUGUUGGGGUGGCCACCGCUUGCAUCAUACUGACAGGCUUAUGCAGCAUAUUUUUAACCAUCUUUUAUCAAACGCGGCUUGCAAAAGCAGAGCCCCAGGUCUCCUCGAUCAUCCAGCCUGACCUGAUCCCGAUUAAUGAAAAGAUCAGGCUGAUGUGCAACAUAAAUGGAUUUAGACCCAAAACAAUCCAGGUGAAAUGGUACUGGAGAAACCCACACAGGAUGGUGUUGGCAGCAAACCAUGCAAAGGAAGAUGCAGCCCUUUGUGAAACUGGAGAAGAUGUUACCAGUAUGGCCAAGCAGCCGUUGGAAGCCAAUGGCAGAUUUUACAGCAUCUCCUCCUGCCUGAGCUACACGCCGACGAUAAAGGACGAUAGGGCGGAAUUUGAAUGCAACAUCCAGCACAGCACACUCAAAAAUCCAAUACGGAGGACCACAAUUAUUCAUGUUACUGCUCGACCAGCAAGUCAUUACAUCUUCAGCUCGCCCCAGGUUCCCAUACAGGGGGAUAAGCUUAUUCUGAUCUGUGUUGUGGAGAAAUUUUACCCAAAGGACAUCACUCUGGAUUGGUUUCGAAAUGGACAGCCUGUUGAAGAAGUGACACAGUUUGGGCCUUUCCCUUGUGAAAGUGAUUUUUAUAGUAUAUGGAGCCAGACUGAGUUUAUCCUGACCAGAGAUGACGAAGGAGCAAUUUAUACCUGUCGGAUCAAGCACAGCAGCUUUGGAAAUGUCGAAGAACUCUCCUAUGAAAUAAAUUUGCAAGGAACGCCCCCAGAAGUCCUCUGGAUCACUCCAGACCCUCCGGUUCCUGUUGCAGGAGAGGAGCUGAGGCUAAGCUGCCGAAUCAAUAACUUCUCCCCUAGCGUGAUCAGGGUGAAUUGGUUCCAAGAUGGGAAGCCACUGCAUGUGGGAAUCUGCCACUCAGUCUCCGUAGUUGGCGCCAAUGGCUUGCACUCCAUGUGGAGCCUUCUGAGAGUGACACCUGCACAGGGGGCGGGGAAUACUGUGUUUACGUGCAAGGUGGAACACGACGCGCUGAGCGGAUGUGUGGAAAGAGCGUACACUUUGCAGAUGCCUGGUUGAACCGUUUUCAUGAAAAUGAAGGAAAACUGCACUGAAGCAAACCAAAGGGAGCCUAGCAAAGAAACUAUGAGUGGACCGGAUUUCAAGGCAUGAACAGAAGGAUAAAAGCAGAAAAAGGAAAUAAUAUGCCGUCUGCAACCACUAGAUGUCGCUUUUCACCAUCAACUGUUUGGCCAGAUAUUUCCAGAUAUUUGUGGUUUAGUUUAUUACAUGUGAAAUCUCACACUCUGGUGACUCUCCUCCAAGAAUUCAGGAGUGACUAAGCUUUCUAGUUUAGAUCACCAUUGCCUUUAAUUUUUUUAGUUAUGUGCCACAUUUCUCUUUGCAAGAAGAAAAAAACCAAUCCCACAAGAUAGUUCAUGACCAAGAUAACUAGCAAACAGUCAUUUAGAAAUUAUCAAAAAAUAUUCCCCAGAGAACAUAGGAGAGUGUCCUGUUAGCUCAGUGGUAAUGCCUGUCCAAUAGGGUGUGUUGAUUUUUUCCAAAAACGAGGGUUGCUAAAAAGUUGUAACAUGACUUGGGAAUUUAAAAGAUAUUUUGGUUAAAUUAAUAUAAUUUAGUUUUGAAUGUAGGUCAUUUUUUGUGUAAAAUUGCAUAAAAAUUAUUAAAAAUGAUUGCCAAGUACUUCCAGUUAUAUUAUACAUUUUCGUUGUUGGCAUUUGUCUGGAAGAGUGUUCCAUUGGGGGUCAAACCGUUGAAGUGUUACAGUGCCUAUUGUAACUGUAGAAACCAAUAUGGGAGAGACAAUUUAGUAUAUUUCCUGACAUUUUCAGAAGGCAAAAUCAAAAUUCUUUGGGUUUCUGAAAGCAGCUUAUGUACUUCUUCAUCAAACAUAGACUUACGAAGCUAGAUGUUGUCCAAUCAGAAAAACAAUGGCAGAUUUGAAUUCCACACGCCCCAAAAUGU